AUUCAGAUAGUUUAAUAUAAAAUAUUGGUUUGUGGAGCCAAAGACAUAAUUACAUAUUCUGAAUA
This 65-nucleotide transfer RNA is filed under the name Potamon fluviatile. RNAcentral's name for it is "tRNA-His". It matches the Rfam family "tRNA". Rfam says of the family: Transfer RNA (tRNA) molecules are approximately 80 nucleotides in length. Their secondary structure includes four short double-helical elements and three loops (D, anti-codon, and T loops). The record is from RNAcentral. Lineage: Eukaryota; Metazoa; Arthropoda; Malacostraca; Decapoda; Potamidae.